This 158-nucleotide unclassified non-coding RNA is filed under the name uncultured Helotiales. RNAcentral's name for it is "sequence contains ITS1". Lineage: Eukaryota; Fungi; Ascomycota; Leotiomycetes; Helotiales. The record is from RNAcentral.
CAGAGUUCAUGCCCUCACGGGUAGAUCUCCCACCCUUGUAUAACAUACCUUUGUUGCUUUGGCAGGCCGCGCUUGCGCCAGAGGCUUCGGCUUUUGUGUGCCUGCCAGAGGAUCACAACUCUUGUUUUUAGUGAUGUCUGAGUACUAUAUAAUAGUUA